GCCGCCUCCUGGGAAGAUGGCGCUGCACUUCCAGAGUUUGGCUGAAUUGGAAGUGUUAUGUACUCAUCUCUACAUAGGGACUGAUCUUACACAAAGAAUAGAGGCUGAGAAAGCACUCUUGGAACUUAUUGACAGUCCAGAAUGUCUCAGCAAGUGUCAACUUUUAUUAGAACAAGGAACAACAUCCUAUGCUCAGCUCCUUGCAGCAACAUGUCUUUCAAAACUUGUCAGCCGAGUCAGUCCUUUACCUGUUGAGCAGAGGAUGGACAUCAGAAACUACAUUCUGAAUUACGUGGCAUCACAGCCCAAGCUGGCUCCCUUUGUCAUCCAAGCUCUUAUUCAAGUCAUUGCUAAAAUCACUAAGUUGGGGUGGUUUGAGGUUCAGAAAGACCAAUUUGUCUUCAGAGAAAUUAUUGCUGAUGUGAAGAAGUUUCUCCAGGGUACUGUGGAACACUGCAUAAUAGGAGUAAUAAUCCUUUCUGAAUUGACUCAGGAAAUGAACCUGGUUGAUUAUUCUAGACCUUCAGCAAAACACAGGAAAAUAGCUACCUCAUUUCGUGAUACUUCUCUCAAAGACGUUUUAGUGCUAGCAUGCUCUCUUUUAAAAGAGGUGUUUGCCAAACCUUUAAAUCUUCAGGAUCAAUGUCAGCAAAAUCUGGUAAUGCAGGUCUUGAAACUGGUCCUUAACUGCCUUAACUUUGACUUCAUUGGCAGUUCAGCAGAUGAAUCUGCAGAUGAUCUUUGCACGGUGCAGAUUCCAACAACUUGGAGAACAAUUUUCCUGGAACCAGAAACAUUGGAUCUUUUCUUCAAUUUGUAUCAUUCACUUCCACCACUACUAUCUCAGUUAGCACUUUCAUGUUUAGUUCAGUUUGCUUCGACAAGAAGGUCCUUAUUUAACAGUCCUGAACGUGCCAAGUACCUUGGUAAUUUAAUUAAGGGAGUAAAAAGGAUACUUGAAAACCCUCAGGGUUUGUCUGAUCCAGGUAAUUAUCAUGAAUUUUGUCGAUUUUUGGCUCGUUUAAAGACAAAUUAUCAGCUGGGAGAAUUAGUUAUGGUGAAGGAAUAUCCUGAAGUUAUUAGAUUGAUUGCUAAUUUUACCAUUACUAGCCUACAGCACUGGGAAUUUGCUCCUAACAGUGUUCAUUAUUUAUUAACUCUGUGGCAAAGGAUGGUAGCAUCUGUUCCUUUUGUGAAAUCAACUGAACCCCACCUAUUAGACACUUAUGCACCAGAAAUCACGAAGGCCUUUAUCACUUCUCGGUUGGACUCUGUUGCCAUAGUUGUGAGAGAUCACUUAGAUGAUCCACUGGAUGAUACUGCCACUGUGUUUCAGCAGUUGGAGCAGUUGUGCACGGUCAGCAGAUGUGAAUAUGAAAAGACAUGUGCUCUUCUUGUGCAGUUAUUCGACCAAAAUGCACAGAAUUACCAAAAACUUCUGCAUCCAUAUUCUGGUGUAACUGUGGACAUCACCAUUCAGGAAGGACGUCUUGCAUGGCUGGUAUACUUAGUUGGGACAGUUGUAGGAGGAAGAUUAACAUAUACCAGUACAGAUGAGCAUGAUGCUAUGGAUGGAGAAUUAUCCUGUCGAGUUUUUCAGCUUAUAUCUUUAAUGGAUACCGGAUUGCCUCGAUGUUGUAAUGAGAAAAUAGAGCUUGCAAUUCUGUGGUUCUUGGAUCAGUUUCGUAAAACAUAUGUUGGUGAUCAACUUCAAAGAACCUCAAAGGAAGUUGCUGGAGACUGUAUACUACUCAAUUAAAAAAGUAAACCAAGAAAAGAGGAAGAAGGGAGAGAUGGGAUCUGAGAAUCAGAGGAUCAAACACAGGAGAGAGGCUAAGGGAAGCUCUCGGAUAACAGCUGUGCCUCAGGCCUUGAGAGCAACCAGUUCAAACUGGAGCAGAUGGAAGAAGACAGACAUCUUCCUGUGAAGGGCUUGUGGCAAACCUAUCCAACUCGGGUUUCUUCUUCCUUGAGAACGAUCUGAUUCAUCAUCAUCUGAACCAGGGAUCACAGUCUAAGGUCCAGAUGGCUUGGAACCAGAAGCUGAUUGAGAAUAUUAGAGCUAACAUUUGCACUCAUGGUCAUCACGGAGGUCUUUGUUGGCUUGCCAUGAAUUCUUUCCUUUAAUGUCAAAAUGACUAAGACAGAGACAAGAAUUUUCCUGUUCUGUAUCCCACUUCUAUAUGCUAGUAAUAAGAAACUUCUGAUUGUGCCUCAGGCAAGUGGUCAUAGCUAAUUGAAAUCCAGUUUUGUACCUUGAUGCUAUCUUACAACUUGGGAAGUAAAUUAGGUCUGUGGCUAUGAGGCUAUUUUCUGGACAAAAUAGCCUCUUAUUUUUCAAAAAAAUUUUUUUAUUUGAGGAAAAAAAUCUACAUGUAUUCUGACAUUUAUAAUCCUUCAAAAUGCACUUGGGCAUUAUGUGAAAUUUGUUUUAUAGGUGGACAUUUUAAGUAAAUUAGUUUAAGUCUUACAAAACAUUAAUUUGUUUCAUCAUGAUAAUGACAUUGUGUGCAUUUGGUUGUGAAAAAAACAGAAGUAGUACUUUAAUAUACCUUGUCUCUGACUUUCACCCACACAUAGCAGAUAUGAAUAAAUUGGGCAUUUAUUUCUCCUAUUGGCUAAUUUUCCAAGUGACUCUUAAGUUAUGAACUGAAGUUAAUAUACUUCAGUGAGUUUGCUACAGUAAUGACUCCUGGUCACUAGGAAGAAGAGAGAUUGUCUUCCUCUGAAAUUUUUCCAACCAUUAAGGUAAAUGGGUUGUAAGAAUACUGUUGGCUUCUUGAGAUACAUUGUUUUGUGUUUAUUAUUCAAAAACAUCUAUACUAGUUUUGAGCAAGAGAACAUUUCUUUGGCUGGAAAGGCAACUUUUUAAAGCAUUCAUUAUUUGGAACCAUGUUACUGUUGGAACCUAAAUAAAGUAGUUAUUUACUUGAGUCUAUAUUAGGACAACUAAGUUAGUAUGGACUUAGAAAUUGUUGGGUACAAACCCUGUGUUUCUAUCUCGUUAUGUUUGUGUAAUAUGUGCAGAAGAAUCAAAAUAUUUAUUGGGUGUUUUAAAAUGUCUCCAGUGGUAUCUCUCUUGAACAGAAAAGCCAUUUAUUUAAUUCUGCUUCAGAUUCUAGUAGAAAAUUAUUUCCCACUAGAUCAUAAGUGUUUUAAGAUGAUUAGGUUCCUGUAUGUGCAUUGUAUGAGUAUGUGAACAUAUCCUAACCCAAUUUUAUAAAUAUAUAAAGUAAUUUAAAUAUUUAGAAAUCUCAACAUUAAACCAAGAAUGUCAUCCACAUUAAAGUGUGUAUUAAAUAUUUGAAUCUGUAUUGUAAUGAACUCAGUAGGCAUGUUUCAAAGACUUAGGAAGUAGCACAGAUUUCCAUUAUGCUCUUGGGCUGGGCAAGUCAAUUACAUCCUCAAAGGGUUGUAAUUUUGUAGAAAUUAGCAGACUACAAAGGAUGCUUGAUGGUUGUAUCUGACUGGCUUUGGAAAUGCUUACAUUUCUAAGACUGUGAAUUUUUAAAUAAUCUUUCCUACUUUUUUUCCUACUUUUAUCCUUCUUGUAUGUUUUUGUAACCAGUAGUUUUUUAGGUAGACACAUAUGUGAACUUUAAACAUUUCCAUAUUUAUAGUUAGUGUAAUUAUUACAACAUCUGUUUCAAUAUAUGAAUGAACUAAAAUUUGGAAACUUAAAAGAUCAGUUUUUAGUCUUUAAAACAUUAGAGCAGGAUGAGCUCUUAAUCAUCUACACAAAGAUUUACAGGCUUUAAAUAUGUAGAUUUAGAUUAUCUGUGAUAGCAUUUUCAUUCUAUACCAGUUAAUGCAUUUCAGAGACAUGUGGUGUGUGUAUUAAGGGACAUGCUAGCUGAUUGUACCUUACUGUAAGCAAAACAAAAUUAUAAAAGCAGAUUUGUUAUGAAAAAUAAGAAAUCGAUGAUUUCCAAAAUCAAAAAUGUGACUUUCGGACUAUUCUAUGUGUUGUUGGAUUGAUCUGCCUUUUCUUACACAAGAGCAUACUGCUGACCCCACCACAAGCUUUACCUGUUAAGUAAAAUAUGUUGUGUUUGGAAUAUAGCAUAGCCUAGAGCCAGGCAUUAUGGAGAUGAUAUGCUGAAAUUGGGGUUUCUUUUCUUCAUUCUCCCUUUCCAGUUAGGAUUUGAUUGCAUUACUGUAAUAAACAUUAACAUUGAAAUCAUGUUUUAAAUUUCUUCAUGUUCAUUUUCUGGCCUCUGUAGGACACACACAGAAAAGACCAGUGAAUGCCAUUUCAUCUAAGAAGCUCUUUAAAUGCAUCCAAGAUGCCAGAAAUAACCCUUUCAUACCUCCUGAGUAGUAGCAACAUGUAAUGGUAUAGGAAGAAAUAUUCCACCUAGCUUUUCUUUUGGUGGUGUCUUGCCAUUAACUCAUAAAAACGUAUAUCCUACUAUUAUCUCUACCAUACCUUCAUGUCAUUGGUUAGAUUGCCUGAUGGCUACUAAUGUCUCAAGUUAAUAGCCACAGAAUAUUUCAGAAAGGUGGCGUCCACUUUAUAAAAUGUGUCUAUGAUUGCCAAAGUCUUAUUUGGCUAGAAACAACUAAAUUUAGUUGACCGAGUAAAAUUGUAUAUUCUUAGAAUAUGUCACUUAAAACAAACAAAUAGUGAUUUACUUUCAGUUCUGAAAAUAUUUAGAAGGAUUUGUUAUCUCUUGCAGACCUUCCUGCAGACUACUAAUGGGAUGAACACAAUAUAUCACUUUUAUAAUAGUGAGCUAUUAAAGGCAAGCAUAAAGCAGUCUGAAGCCCAUAAGUGCUGCCAACAGCUCCUGCUUUAAUGAAUUCCCUUUUAGAUGUCCAUUAAAUGCUCAUGGCAAAUGUACUCAUAAUGGAAAUGGCAAAUCUAAAUGGGUAGAUAUGAAUAAUCCAUGGAGUUUAAAUUCUGUUUAUGAUCAUCUUCACAUUUAGUUUUCAAGACAACGCAGUUUAGUUUUCAUUACAGUUUGGAAUAAAGAGGACAGGGAGUAAUUGAUUGCUUCAAGCAGAUUAAAAUCAAUGGUUUUCUUUUCAAAGAACCAGUUCAAUGCAGUAAUUCCAACUUUAAACAUUGAUUUAGAGGACUCAACACAAAAUGUUUUGUGCUGUGUGAACUUUUAUAUAGGAAGACUAAUAUUAAUUUUAUUCCCCUGUAUAUCUGUAUAGUGAAAUAUAGAGGUUGUUAGUAACAUGUGCAUGACUUAAUAGUGAUCUAUAUUAAGUCAUUUUGAUAUUAUUGCAGUCAUAUAAUGAAUCAGUGAGAUUCCCGUCAUCACUGUAAUACUGUUUGUAACCCAUUAGCACAGAGAAAUUACAGCCCAUCAUACAUCAUUACUGUGAUUGAGGCUUUAUUACCAUAUUCUCAAAUUGCUUGCUUGCUAUAAAACUAAAUAGACACAAGACAACUAUAGGUAGAGUAGAGACUGCGCAUUAUUGUGCUACAGUAAUGAGGGAUUAUUGUACCAUAAUGGGUUGAAACUUAUGAGGAAAAUAAACUUGGCAGUAAUAGAAAA
RNA transcript from Homo sapiens (human), 5510 nucleotides. It is a transcript of the gene named RAN binding protein 17, with no coding region annotated. NCBI's taxonomy places the organism in Eukaryota, Metazoa, Chordata, Mammalia, Primates, Hominidae. The record is from RefSeq and is marked validated. The transcript is spliced from 17 exons.